Small nuclear RNA from Suncus etruscus (white-toothed pygmy shrew), 106 nucleotides. NCBI's taxonomy places the organism in Eukaryota, Metazoa, Chordata, Mammalia, Eulipotyphla, Soricidae. The record is from RefSeq and is a predicted model, not a curated record.
GUGCUGCUUCAGAAGCACAUAUACUAAAAUUGGAAUGAUACAAAGAAAAUUAGCAUGGCUCCCAUGCAAGAAUGACACGGAAAUUCAUGAUGUGCUUUAUAUUUUU